This 7237-nucleotide long non-coding RNA is filed under the name Brassica napus (rape). RNAcentral describes it as "long non-coding RNA (BNAP_LNC009822)". The record is from RNAcentral. Lineage: Eukaryota; Viridiplantae; Streptophyta; Magnoliopsida; Brassicales; Brassicaceae.
UGCGGAGAGAUAUCGUCCUCGCGGAUGCUCCUUCUCAUAUUCUUUGUGGUCAUGACGAUAUAAUAACAUGCUUAUAUGUCAGCACUGAUCUUGACAUAGUCAUCAGUGGGUCAAAAGAUGGAACCUGUGUUUUCCACACAUUGCGAGAAGGAAGAUACAUAAGAUCCUUAAAACAUCCUUCAGGCAGCGCAGUUUCGAAGCUUGCUGCAUCGCACCAUGGACGGAUUGUUCUGUACGGUGAUGAUGAUCUUAGUCUGCACCUCUACUCCAUUAACGGAAAACAUCUCGCCAGCUCCGAGUCAAAUGGACGCAUCAAUUGUCUUGAACUUAGUAAGUGUGGAGAGUUUUUGGUUACUGCCGGAGACCAAGGACAAAUAGUUGUUCGGUCUAUGAACACCCUUGAAGUAGUAAGAAGGUAUAGCGGAGCCGGGAAAAUAAUCAGCUCUUUGACUGUAACUCAAGAAGAGUGUUUCUUAGCAGGGACAAAAGAUGGAGCCCUUCUUGUUUAUUCAAUCGAGAAUCCUCAGCAUCGGAAACCAAGCCCAAUCUGGAGCAUAAAAUCCUGAAGCAGAACUUGAUCAAACGUCAAUGAUAUGUUCUGUGUGUAAAUCUGUGUCCCAUGAUUCCAUUGGUUCUCGAUUCGUGGCUUAUCUUGUAGACCGCAGAGGGACUUUACAAACUUUUUACAGCCUUGUAAAUGUGCCAUAUAUCUCAUCUUAAUAGAUUAAGAUGCAUAGACAAUAGAGAGGUGUUGAUUGAUGUAACAUAACCCAUAUUAGAGAUAUAUAUGCCUUUGGUGCGUUUAAAGAGGUAAUACGAUUUGCAUGCGUGCUCGGGGAUUAAAGUAAGAAUCUAUACCACGUAUGUCAAAGUGUAAAAAUCCAAGUCAAAAGUAUGUCAUUGCGCUAAGCCCAACGUAUGUCAUAUUUUUUUAUUUUAUUUUUAUAGUUCAAAAACAUUAAUUAAACUCUAUAACAUCAAUUAUCCUGAACAGAGGAGUCCACACGUUCGAAAACUGGUCGAUUGUGUUAGAUCGUUGGAUGGAGAAACCACCUGAAGACUAUCUCAAGUUUAUUAUGGUGUGGGUCCAAAUGAGAAACAUUCCGGUGAACCAUUAUACCCUUGAAACCAUUGAGGCAUUGGGGGAGUUUGCUGGCCAUGUGGUUGAGGUUCCUUUCGACCCGGAGAAGGCACAGGUCAAAGAUUAUGUAAGAGUACUAGUUCGUUUUGACGUCUCAAAGCCACUGAGAAGAUCAAAAAAACUUACUUUACCUGGAGGGGAGGUUGUCAACAUUUUGUAUGAUUAUGAACGCAUCCAAAAGAGAUGUUACACUUGUCAAAGAUUAACGCAUGAGCAAUCAAUGUGCCCUUGGCGUAAAGUUGAUAAGGAGGCUACGGUGGGAGCUUCCUGCUCUUCGGGGGAAAGCAAGAAUACUGAAGUGCUGAACUCGCUUGAGGAAUCUGACCCGCUCUUUGGAGUCCUCUCUAGCAAACACCUCGGUCUUGAACCUGUUUCAGGUCGGCCCAAGAUUGCAAAGGAGGUUAUGGAUGGUAUGAGACAGUACCUGCAGGUUGAUGAGGGGCCAGAAAAGAUGGCGAGAGUAGAAAGAGUCAAGAAAUCCCUUGAGGAUUUGGAGAAUGAUCCUUUAGGGCAGAAAGUCUUUCUUCGGUUGGAAUCAGCUCCGAUCCUGUCCUCAUCUCUUGAUAAAGGAAAAGGUGCAGUUUUUGACUUCAGCUCUCAAGCGGAGCCUCAACCAAGACAAGAAAAGCUUAUGGCUAGCGCUAUUGCGGCGGGCUCCAAGAUCCUUCAGUCUGGAAAGGUGGUUGCUCCUGAUCCGGCUGCUAAGGAGUAUGAGGUCUAUGCUCAGUCCGGUUUUCUUGUGCAGGGUUCAACGGGUUAUAGUGUAGGUAUCUCUGAUACUAGCAUUUCCGGGACUCUUCUAAAGAAACCUAAACAGCGUAAAAGACCUGGAACCUAUUCGAGGAAAGCAACAGGGAAAAGGGUAGUGAAAGCUGAGGCUGGAGGUAUCGUACGGGUGGGAGAAGGAGUGAUCUCAGACGGCAAGAGAAAAGCACAUGAUGAUGUCGAGCCAUCUAAAAGCUCUGCAAGGUUUAAGAAACCAUUGGUGGUCCCGAGUGAGGGACCGUCCAAUAUUUAAAUGACUAUGCUGAGCUGGAACUGCCAUGGACUGGGCCGUGCAAAGGACCUGGUGAUUCCAAGACUACGGGAGAUACGUCAAGAAUAUUUCCCGGAUAUUUUGUUUUUGAUGGAGACGAAGCAUAGUCGUGAUGAUUUGGUGGAUGUGCAAACUUGGCUUGGCUACGAUAGGAUCAUGACUGUCAAUCCUAUUGGGUACAGCGGAGGUCUAGCCUUGAUGUGGAAGAAUUCUGUAAAUAUCGGGUUUAAGUUUGUAGACAAGAAUCUUGUAGAUUUCGGUGUGAAGUUUGGCAAAGACUCCUUCUUUGUGUCGUGUGUCUACGGUGAACCAAUCCAGGGUAAUAGAGCAAAGGUGUGGGAAAGGUUAUCUAGGAUUGGGGCACAUAGAAAAGACCCAUGGUGUAUUAUGGGGGAUUUCAAUGAGAUAAGAAACAAUGGAGAGAAAAUUGGUGGUCCGCGCAGAGGUGAAGCUUCUUUUCAGGAUUUUAAUGAUAUGCUAGACAUCGGAGAAAUGGUGGAACUUCAGAGCUGUGGUGACAACCUGACUUGGGGAGGUAAGCGUGGAGAUUCAUGGAUAAGAUCGAGACUAGAUAGGUGUUUUGGUAACAAGAAAUGGAUGCAACUCUUUCCAGCUUCUAACCAAGCAUUUCUGGACAAACGAGGGUCAGAUCACAGACCAGUUCUUGUGAGGCUCGUCUCUUCAUCUGAGCCUUUUAGAGGUAGUUUCAGAUUUGAUAGAAGGUUCCUUAACAAUCCAGGGGUCAAAGAUGAGAUCAAGAAGGUUUGGCUAACAAAUCACUCCCUCUUUGAGGCCAAGAUUUCCGAUAAACUUAAAAGAUGCAGGAAGGCUCUGAGCAAAUGGAAAAAAAAGGAAAACCUAAACUCCAGAGAUAAGAUCAAACAGAUUCAAGUGGCUUUAGAGGCUGAACAGUCUUCAAGUUUCCCUUUGGCCAGGAGAGUCAACUAUCUGAAAGAGGAGCUGAUCAAAGCUUACAAAGAGGAAGAGCUGUAUUGGAAGCAGAAAAGUAAAGAUCGAUGGGCUGUUAAAGGUGAUCUGAACACGAAGUACUACCAUGAGUCGGUAAAGUCAACCAGAGCAAAGAACAGGAUCAUCAAACUGAUGGACGAGAAUGGGCAAGAACAGUUCUCUGAAGCGGCCAAGGCAGAAGUGGCCAAUGAUUAUUUCAAGAAUCUGUUCAGGUCCUCAAAUGAGACAGACUUCAGUGAACUCUUUGAUGGUUUCUCUCCUCGGGUGUCAUUGGGGAUGAAUGAAUUUUUAACAAGAGAGGUUACGAAUGAGGAAGUCAGAGAAGCAGUUUUCGCUAUCAAGCCUGGUAGUGCUCCCGGUCCUGACGGUAUGACAGGCAUGUUCUUCCAGAAAUAUUGGGACACGGUGGGAGUACAGGUUACUAAAGAAGUGCACCAAUUUUUCCUCUCUGGAGUCUUCCCGGUUGACUGGAACUACACUCAUCUCUGCCUUCUUCCAAAAACUCAGGAUCCAACCUUGAUGACCGACCUUAGACCAAUAAGCUUGUGUUCAGUCUUGUACAAGAUUAUUUCGAAGAUUAUGGUCAGCAGAUUGAAGCCUUUCUUACCUGAUAUUGUCUCUCCCACGCAGUCAGCCUUUGUCGAGGAAAGGCUCAUAUCUGAUAACAUCCUAAUAGCUCAUGAGAUGAUUCAUGCCCUGAAGACGAAUGACAAAGUGGCCAAAGAGUUCAUAGCCAUCAAAUCCGACAUGUCAAAAGCCUAUGACAGAGUCGAGUGGAGUUACCUGAGAGCGCUUCUUAAUGCGUUGGGCUUUGAUGGGGUUUGGAUCGAGAGAGCUAUGUUCUGUGUCACCACGGUAACAUACUCCACCUUGAUUAAUGAUCAACCGUUUGGAUGCAUUCAACCUGAGAGGGGAUUAAGGCAAGGGGAUCCUCUUUCUCCCUUCUUGUUUGUCCUAUGUACGGAAGGCCUUAUCCACAUGAUUGAACAAGCGGUGGGACAAGGAAAGCUGCAAGGUAUCCAAUUUUCAGAGGAAGGUCCAAUGAUCCACCACAUGUUGUUUGCUGAUGACAGCCUGAUGUUGUGUAAGGCGUCUCUUAGCCAAGUAUCCGAGUUGAUGAAGAUCCUUCAAGUCUAUGAGAAAGCCACAGGACAGAAAGUCAACCUUGACAAAUCAGCUAUCACUUUCGGAGCCAAGAUUGAUGAGAUAUCGAAGCAAUUUCUUAAAGACCUCACAGGGAUAGUGAAAGAAGGAGGGACGGGGUCUUAUUUGGGCUUGCCGGAAUGCUUCAGUAGAUCAAAAACUGAGAUGCUUGCUUACAUCUACGACAGGCUCAAGGACAGACUCUCUUGCUAUUUUGUCAAAUUACUGUCGCACGGAGGGAAGGAGGUUCUUAUUAAGGCAGUGGCCAUGGCAAUGCCGGUCUAUGCGAUGUCCUGCUUCAAACUAACCAAGAAGUCGUGUGAGAAUUUAACUAAAGCUAUGGCUGACUUCUGGUGGAACUCUAUGGAGCACAAAAGGAAGAUUCAUUGGCUCAGUUGGACGAAAAUGUCUCUGGCUAAAGAACAGGGGGUUCUUGGAUUCAAAGAUAUUCAGUUGUUCAAUCAAUCCUUGCUAGCCAAGCAAGCUUGGAGAAUCCUAAACUAUUCGGAAUCGCUUUUUGCUAGACUGUUCAAAAGUAGAUACUUUGAGAAUGGAAAUUUCCUCUCUGCUGGUAACGGACCGCGGCCAUCCUACGGUUGGCGAAGCAUCCAGUUUGGCAAGGAACUGCUACAACAAGGCAUUAGAAAACGGUUGGGGAAUGGAAAAUCCAUCUCGGUGUGGGUAGAUGAAUGGAUAGAAGGUGAAGUGAGAAGAAGGCCUCUAAUGAAGAAUAUUUUUGUUGAUCUAAUGCUCAAGGUUAAUGAUCUCAUCGAUGGAAAAAUGCUGUAUACGGACAUAUCACAUAACAGUUCUGUUUGUGGCCAGGGUGGUAAAUUUGAUCACGCAGAUCGUCUUUUUCAAAGUAUUGAGGGGACAUAUCGAAAUUGCCUGUCAAAUACAAGCGAUGUAAAAGAAUUGAUCCCUGAGUUCUUCUACAUGCCUGAAUUUCUGGUGAAUUCUAACUCUUACCACCUUGGAGUGAAACAAGACGGUGAACCUCUCGGAGAUAUUUGUCUACCUCCAUGGGCUAAGGUAUGCUUCUCACACGUAUUAUAUACAGGGUAAUCUAGUGGAGCGCUGAAUUAGUUUCUGGAGUUCGGUGGGACAACUGAGUAUGUUGCUAUAUAUAUUAAGAGUACUGUUGUGGUAUGAAAAACAUGUUCAUGAGGUGUGUUUGGUCCUUAUUGAAGAAGACCACCUAUAAAACUAUGAUUAUGUGGAGAUUAGCGCGGAGUAGUAACAAACUAAACUUGAAACUUCCUUUGGUAGUGUGUGGGCGCUAAGGAUUGUAGUGACAGUUUGUUUAGAUUUGUUUUCUAGACAUCCCGAGACAUCCCGAAUGUACCGUUGUUUAAUCUCCUUGAGAACUUCAUAGCCAAUUAUAUAUGCAGGGUUCUCCAGAGAUGUUUAUUGCUCGCAAUAGAGAAGCCCUAGAGAGCGAGUAUGUUAGCUCACAUCUCCAUGAAUGGAUUGAUUUGAUAUUUGGACAUAAACAGCGUGGCAAACCAGCUGUGGAGGUACCCCGAUUAAUUUUCUCAGACUAGCUUUAUUUGUUGCUCGGUACUUCAUAUUUCAUAAGCUCGCAUAUUUUCUGUUGUAACCUCUUAUUCGGUUCUUAUUAAAAAUUAAAUACUCCUUAACUGCAGGCAGCAAAUAUCUUUUAUUACCUUACAUAUGAAGGUGCUGUUGACGUAGAAAAUAUGGAAGACGAACUGCAAAUAUCAGCAGUUGAAGAUCAGAUUGCUAAUUUUGGUCAAACUCCAAUCCAGAUCUUCCGGAAGAAACAUCCGAGAAGAGGGCCGCCUAUUCCAAUUGCACAUCCGUUGUACUUUGCUCCUGCGUCCAUCAAUUUGACUUCCAUUCUUCCCGCUACGACUAACCCCCCAUCAUCAGUUCUAUAUGUCGGUGUUCUAGAUUCAAAUAUAGUUCUUGUCAACCAGGGUCUCACUUUGUCAGUCAAGAUUUGGUUGACAACUCAACUACAUUCUGGCGGAAAUUUUACUUUCUCUAGCUCUCAGGUAUGUUCUCCAUUAUCUUUUUGGAUUCCAUUAAUUCAAUAUUACAUUGUACGACAUUAGCUGAGGCCUCUUUUACUGCAGGAUCCAUACUUCGGAGUUGGUUCUGAUGUUCUCUCUCCCCGCAACAUUGGAAGUCCCCUUGCAGACAAUGUUGAACUUGGAUCACAAUGCUUUGCCACAAUGCAAACCCCACAGGAAAACUUUCUGGUUUCAUGUGGGAACUGGGAGAACAGUUUUCAUGUCAUAUCCUUGGCUGAUGGACGGGUAGUCCAGAGCAUCCGACAUCAUAAAGACGUCGUAAGCUGUGUUGCAGGUAUGUUAUUUGUCCUCUGCUUCCUUUGCCUGGCUAAUGAUAUGAGGCUCUAGGAUAGGUUUUCCUUAAUGUUCGAGAAAGUAUUCCAAUCUGGAAUUAUGGCAAAGAAUAACAACAUUAUUUUGACUCGGAAAAUCACUCAAUCCCAUAAUCUAGGUGCUUCAUUCAAAUAUAGUUUUCGUUGGCCACGUCUAGCAUUUCAUUUUUUGCUAAAGCUACUCAUGCCUUACUGAUUAUAUCAUUAAUACUGCAGUGACUGCUGAUUCAAGCAUUCUUGCAACUGGUAGCUAUGAUACGACUGUGAUGGUGUGGGACAUUCUCCGCAUGAAAACACCUGAAAAGAGGGUGAAAAAUAUGCACGCAGAAGCACUGCGGAGAGAUAUCGUCCUCGCGGAUGCUCCUUCUCACAUUCUUUGUGGUCAUGACGAUAUAAUAACAUGCUUAUAUGUCAGCACUGAUCUUGACAUAGUCAUCAGUGGGUCAAAAGAUGGAACCUGUGUUUUCCACACAUUGCGAGAAGGAAGAUACAUAAGAUCCUUAAAACAUCCUUCAGGCAGCGCAGUUUCGAAGCUUGCUGCAUCGCACCAUGGACGGAUUGUUCUGUACGGUGAUGAUGA